GACGGAGGGGGCUAGCGUUGUUCGGAAUUACUGGGCGUAAAGAGUGCGUAGGCGGUUUAGUAAGUUGGAAGUGAAAGCCCGGGGCUUAACCUCGGAAUAGCUUUCAAAACUACUAAUCUAGAGUGUAGUAGGGGAUGAUGGAAUUCCUAGUGUAGAGGUGAAAUUCUUAGAUAUUAGGAGGAACACCAGUGGCGAAGGCGGUCAUCUGGGCUACAACUGACGCUGAUGCACGAAAGCGUGGGGAGCAAACA
Molecule: ribosomal RNA, 251 nt
Filed under: Rickettsia endosymbiont of Agyneta unimaculata
Lineage: Bacteria; Pseudomonadati; Pseudomonadota; Alphaproteobacteria; Rickettsiales; Rickettsiaceae
Description: partial 16S ribosomal RNA
Rfam family: Bacterial small subunit ribosomal RNA
Source: RNAcentral